CAGUAGCCGCGGGAAUACGAAGGGUGCAAGCGUUAAUCGGAAUUACCGGGCGUAAAGCGUGCGUAGGCGGUGAGUUAAGUCUGCUGUGAAAUCCCCGGGCUCAACCUGGGAAUGGCAGUGGAUACUGGCUCGCUAGAGUGUGUCAGAGGAUGGUGGAAUUCCCGGUGUAGCGGUGAAAUGCGUAGAGAUCGGGAGGAACAUCAGUGGCGAAGGCAGCCCCCUGGGCCAAUACUGACGCUCAUGCACGAAAGCGUGGGGAGCAAACAGGAUUAGAUACCCCCGUAGUCCCUGUCUCUUAUAU
This 301-nucleotide ribosomal RNA is filed under the name uncultured bacterium. RNAcentral's name for it is "partial 16S ribosomal RNA". It matches the Rfam family "Bacterial small subunit ribosomal RNA", at positions 509 to 809 of the family's 1533-position model. The record is from RNAcentral.